This 700-nucleotide ribosomal RNA is filed under the name Brevundimonas aurantiaca. RNAcentral describes it as "bacterial SSU rRNA". It matches the Rfam family "Bacterial small subunit ribosomal RNA", at positions 8 to 754 of the family's 1533-position model. The record is from RNAcentral. Lineage: Bacteria; Pseudomonadati; Pseudomonadota; Alphaproteobacteria; Caulobacterales; Caulobacteraceae.
AGAGUUUGAUCAUGGCUCAGAGCGAACGCUGGCGGCAGGCCUAACACAUGCAAGUCGAACGAAGUCUUCGGACUUAGUGGCGGACGGGUGAGUAACACGUGGGAACGUGCCUUUAGGUUCGGAAUAACUCAGGGAAACUUGUGCUAAUACCGAAUGUGCCCUUCGGGGGAAAGAUUUAUCGCCUUUAGAGCGGCCCGCGUCUGAUUAGCUAGUUGGUGAGGUAAAGGCUCACCAAGGCGACGAUCAGUAGCUGGUCUGAGAGGAUGAUCAGCCACAUUGGGACUGAGACACGGCCCAAACUCCUACGGGAGGCAGCAGUGGGGAAUCUUGCGCAAUGGGCGAAAGCCUGACGCAGCCAUGCCGCGUGAAUGAUGAAGGUCUUAGGAUUGUAAAAUUCUUUCACCGGGGACGAUAAUGACGGUACCCGGAGAAGAAGCCCCGGCUAACUUCGUGCCAGCAGCCGCGGUAAUACGAAGGGGGCUAGCGUUGCUCGGAAUUACUGGGCGUAAAGGGAGCGUAGGCGGACAUUUAAGUCAGGGGUGAAAUCCCGGGGCUCAACCUCGGAAUUGCCUUUGAUACUGGGUGUCUUGAGUGUGAGAGAGGUAUGUGGAACUCCGAGUGUAGAGGUGAAAUUCGUAGAUAUUCGGAAGAACACCAGUGGCGAAGGCGACAUACUGGCUCAUUACUGACGCUGAGGCUC